UGCAGUUAAAAAGCUCGUAGUUG
RNAcentral lists this non-coding RNA (23 nucleotides) under Arabidopsis thaliana (thale cress). Lineage: Eukaryota; Viridiplantae; Streptophyta; Magnoliopsida; Brassicales; Brassicaceae. The record is from RNAcentral.